AUGGGGUCUUGCUAUGCUGUCCAGUGUGGGUUCAGGCAAUACUCCUGCCAAAAUGCUCAGCCUCCCAAAAUGCUGAGAUUACAGGUUUAAGCCACCAUGCCCAGCCCGUUUCAUCCUUCUUUAACAAAGUCUAUCAUUUAUUAGUAAUUACAAUGGGCCAAAACCCAUGCUAAGCACUUUUUACAUGUAUUCUCUGAUGUAAUCCUCCUAACACUCCUAUGAAAAAGGUUUAAUUUUAUCCUCAUUUUACAGCAAAGGAAAGUAAGGAUCAAAGACAUGCUGUAUCACAGUUGAUGGCUUUCAAUAGGUAUCUCAGCAUGAAACUGCCUUCACCUCAGAAAUACCCAGCCUCAAAAGCAUAUUCAAGCAGUUCUUCAUGACUCCCGUAAAUCAAGCUCUCAUCAUUGAGCCAUGGGAGCAAAUGAAUAUUCUCUUUUAAAGAGUGAACAAGCAAAUGCUUGGAAUAAAAAGAAAGAAUUACAUUGAAUCUUUUAAAAGACUCAGUUUUCCAACCUGGGCUGGCUAAGCAGCAGCCUGAAGGAACUAAGACAGCCCUGCAUGACCUGGCCGCUGCCUGCUAUUCCAGGAUUCUCUCCUGCAGCUUCUCGCCUCGUUUAUUCUCUAGUAAUGCAGAAUAGCAUGUGGCUCUACCCAUGUUCUGACAGACUGAAUAAAUACUGAAAGAAUGCUUUUUUUGUGUAUGUCUGAGCCUUUGUUCCUUUUGCUCCCUCAGUCUGGCAGGUCCUUAUUCAAUUUACCUUUCAAUUCUCUGUUGAGGCAUCUCCUCCUCCUGGAAGCCUUCCGUGGAUAGCACUUCCCUGCUCUGAGAUGAAUGUCCCCCACUCCACAUAAUUAGAGGGUCCUGUGCUUAGCACAGCACUUGCAACAUUGUAUGCUGGUUACUUUCUGGCUUACCUCCCCACCUGGAGUGUGAGCUCUUCCAGGGUAGGGGCCAGGGCCACCUGAGGUUAACGCAAGAUGUGUUAUAGACUACAGCUUAAAUGUUUAUAAAAAAACAACAAGGAAUGCACUCGCAGUCCAGUGCUCUUU
This 1050-nucleotide long non-coding RNA is filed under the name Homo sapiens (human). RNAcentral's name for it is "HSALNT0364038". Lineage: Eukaryota; Metazoa; Chordata; Mammalia; Primates; Hominidae. The record is from RNAcentral.